GGAGAGGUACCCAAGCGGCUGAAGGGGCGGGUUUGCUAAACCUGUAGGGGUCCGUAAGGGCCCGCGAGAGUUCAAAUCUCUCCCUCUCCGCCA
RNAcentral lists this transfer RNA (93 nucleotides) under bacterium. Its description in RNAcentral is "tRNA-Ser". It matches the Rfam family "tRNA". Rfam says of the family: Transfer RNA (tRNA) molecules are approximately 80 nucleotides in length. Their secondary structure includes four short double-helical elements and three loops (D, anti-codon, and T loops). RNAcentral also lists the same sequence under 4 other names. The record is from RNAcentral.